CACUUCCGGAGGAAAACAAGGGAGCUUCCGGUGGCGGCGGGCUUGAGUGUGUGUGUGUGUGUACUUCUAAUCUGGGGAGGGAAGGCGCAAGGGGCUCGCACACGCUCUGUUGUGCGGAGGUUGGCUGGUGUCUCCAUAUGUGGGUCUCUACUCGGUUCGUUGCUCCCCAGGGCCCCACUAGUCAUGUUAUGGGGUGGCUCGAGCAAGGAUGCUUUUCAGCAUUCACAGCCAGAACUUAUGCUGGGGGGCGCGGGUCUUGCUUUUUGACAGGGCUUACUCCCAAGUAAGUGUGCGAAGGAAUUGUGCUAGUUUCUUAGCCCAAUUCUAUGCAUUUUUAGUCGAACCUUAAAUUAGAACAAAGGACUUUACUUUGGAAAUAAAGUAUUCUGCUUUUUAGGGAUAUAAAAUAUCUUUAUAGGGUUUUUUUUAACCUUGGGUAGGGUUUAUAAUGAUUAUCAGUAAUAAAGUGGUGGUUCUCUUUUGUUUAGCAGAGAGGGAGCAACUGUCCCUGUUAACCCCUGCUAAAUGAGCAAAGAGGCUCAGUUUUUUUAAAGUGCCGAUUCUCAUAUUUAGCGGGCGGGAGAGUAACUGGCGCUAUCCAACCCCAGAACAGCAUCCCUCCAGUGGCUGUUGCUGGUAUCUACCUUCUGUUUCUUUUUAGAUUGUGAGCCCUUUGGGGACAGGGAUCCAUCUUAUUUAUUUAUUAUUUUUCUGUGCAAACCACUUUGGAAACUUUUGUUGAAAAGCGGUAUAGAAAUAUUUGUUGUUGUUGUUGUAAAGCAGCAAAGCUUCCUGUGGCACAUUAAAGACUUAAAAGGGGGGGGGCUUUUUGUGUGGCAUGUUAGCCUUUAAGGUGCCACAGAACUUAUUGUUGGUCUUGCUGCAAUAGACUAGCACAGAUGCUCCUCUGGAAUGUCACUAUACAUUUUUAUUAUUUAUUUUUCAUAUUUUGUAGGCUGCUUUUGUAUUGAAACAAUACACUUAUUUACUGUGCUGAUAUUCUCCAAAGCAGACAAAAAUUGUUGGUUCUGUGUAAAAGUAGAACUAAAUGGUUCCUAAAGGAAGUUGACCUUAAGAAUAUAUGAUUCCUCCUGGAUCAGACCAAGUGUUCAUCUACUCCAAAAUCCUACUUCUCUCACAGAGCUAAUAGAUAGAUAUGAACACAUCUUUAUCACCUUUAUGAACACAUCUUUAUCUCAAGGGAGAAUUGUAGAAUUAGAUCUUUUGUGCAUGCAGCUAAUUUAAGUGGCAGGACUGUCCAUGCAAAAUGUGGCAUGUGCAGGUCAUUGGAAGAAUCUUACAUUGCCUAAUACAGAGAAAAAAAACUGGUUUCUAAAACAGAAUACACUUUUAAAAUAUAAUAUCAAGCUGUUUGGACCUCACUGAAUGACAUGAAACUCCCAGACCAACCCAUAAAAGCUAGGAACAUGCUGUUUUCUCAGUGUUGUCCAAAAAGUACCGGUUACAAUUGAAUAAAUCUACAAGAAGAUGAUCUGUACUGUUCCAGAUCCAGCAUAAUCUGCUCAUCUCUGAAGGCUUAGCCCCUUAUCUUUUUGCCCUCAGAUCUCAUUAUACUCCUGCCCAUGACCUUUGCUUUUCUAGUUCCAACACCCUCAGUCUUCUAGGUCUCCUGGCCACUCAAACAACUUUGCCCUUUCUUCCUUGCUGCUCCUUAUGCUUGGAACAGCCUCCUGAAAAAACCUAUGCAAUGCUUCCUCUUUCUUACUUCAAAUCCCUUUUUAAAACCCAUCUUCUCCAUUAAGCCUUUGGCAAACCCCUUUGUUGCUAUACUCUAUUGUAACUAAGCCCAAAGACACAUACCUGAAAUAAUUGCAUCUUCUUCGCCAGUACAGUAAUACCACCACCAUAACAGAUGUGAGGAUUUCUGGGUUGUCUUGUCCAUGUGUGUUGCAGUUGACACAGGGUAAUAUGUUUCUGAAACAAGUAUAGGGGCCAGGAGCAUCUGCAGGACUUUUUCCAGGGGAGGGGGUGGGCAAAGCCAGCAAUCCAAUACCCUGCUCCCUGGAGUAUGGCCCAUUUAAUUCAAUGGGAACUGGUUCAAUCCAUGGGGAGGGACAACUGCCCCUUCUUGCCCUCUCUGAAUGCCCAUGAGAAAGGUCAAUGUUUAAUUUUCUGAGACCGCUAGGUAAAGCAGUGGUCUUCAUUAUUUUUCAAAUGGGGUUUGCUUUGGCAAAAAAUAAGUGUGAAAGCCAUUCCCCACUAUUCUGACUUCUGCACAGCACUACUCUUUUCUCAGUCUGGGAGGGCCUUUAAAGUCCUCUUUUAAGAGUUCUGUGGGGAAAAUGCUGGAAAGGGCUACACUUUCUGAACGCCUCUCUGAAUGCCUUCCAGCACUCUCUGAACACCUUCAAGAUAGUGCAGAGGCUCAAGUGGGCUCAGUUUUUCAUAAAGAAGCCCCCCACCUCAGCAAAGCGCUGCACUGCACAUAGUGAUAAUGGUGGUCUCUGCAUGGUGCCAGGCGGACUGUAUAGAGAAUUCAGUCUCAACCAAUGCUUCACAUAGGUCCAAUAAAACAUUGGUCAGAGGGCCACAGUUUGCGUUGGUGGGGCUGCCACCAGCCCCUGGUCAUACAGUGAAGAACACUGAGUUAAAGGAUAACAGCAGGGCUAAAUAAGGCUUUCUACCUGAGAGCUGAGGUCAAGACUCACUUUCUGUGGUUUUUGAGCAUAUUAGACUCAGAGGAGCACCUAGGUAAUUUUGGAGCCUGGACCUAAAGGCCUUUGGAGGCCCCCGUCCUCAGCAAAUUAAGCAUCAUGGUGCUUCACCAGGAGACCACACUAUGUGGGGCAGGCUAAAGAGGAUUUGGGGGCCCACCAGGGGCUGUGGAGGCCCUGGACUUUGGCCUCGAAGUCCAGGGGCAACAGCGCUUUUUACUAGACUGGAUGGAUAAUUAGUCUAAUAACUCAAUAUGGCAGCUCCCCAUGAUCUUCCCGAUCAGCAUUCUUUCUCUAAGGGAAAAACCUGACCAGUACAAAAUUGCAUAAAAUAUUUUCUUGGUUUUGAUUGUUUUUAAUGUUGUUUUAGAAUAUUGUUUUAACAAUUUUGAAUUGUUGUGUUUUAAAUUUCUUGUUUUUGUUUUUAACUAAUGUUUUAAUGUUGUUUUUAUCUUGUAAACUGCCCAGAGACAUAAGUUUUGGGUGGUAUAAAAAUGUGUGAAAUAAAUAAAUAAA
This is a long non-coding RNA of Hemicordylus capensis (graceful crag lizard), 3191 nucleotides long. RefSeq lists it as uncharacterized. NCBI's taxonomy places the organism in Eukaryota, Metazoa, Chordata, Lepidosauria, Squamata, Cordylidae. The record is from RefSeq and is a predicted model, not a curated record. The transcript is spliced from 5 exons.